RNAcentral lists this long non-coding RNA (424 nucleotides) under Arachis ipaensis. RNAcentral describes it as "long non-coding RNA (AIPA_LNC001925)". The record is from RNAcentral. Lineage: Eukaryota; Viridiplantae; Streptophyta; Magnoliopsida; Fabales; Fabaceae.
GGAAACCCAAACCUUGUUCAUGCACAAAGCAUCCUUGCAGUCCUGGGCUUCCAAGUAGUCCUAAUGGGCCUUGUUGAAGGGUUCCGCAUUAAUGGGCUUCCUGGUGUUGGAGAAGGGAACAACCUCUAUCCUGGUGGGCAGUACUUUGACCCAUUGGGCCUUGCCGAUGACCCAGUUACUUUUGCUGAGCUCAAGGUCAAGGAGAUCAAGAAUGGAAGGCUUGCCAUGUUUUCCAUGUUUGGGUUCUUUGUUCAGGCCAUUGUAACUGGUAAAGGCCCAUUGGAGAACCUUUUGGACCACCUUGACAACCCUGUGGCUAACAAUGCUUGGGUUUAUGCCACCAAGUUUGUGCCUGGUUCUUAGAACAAGAUAACACCUUUUCUUUUUCCUUCUUUUCUUUUACCCUCGCACUUUGCUUUUAUUG